UCAAUAUCUCAUCAUCCCAUCGCACUGUAUUUCUAUUAAUAUUCUAAUUCUAUUAUCAAUUGCUUACUUACUAAUUCUAAACCAAGUGUCAAACUUUAUCUAUUUAAUCUGCAUGUAUGAUUAUUAGUUAUAUUGGUCAUUCUCUUGGAGUCUUGUACGUGUCAUAUGACCUAGUUCUCAAAUCUCAAUUGAUUAAUGUUUUGAUCCAAUUUAGUCCCAAUAUCUCAUCAUCUCAAAUCUCAUGUGUAUCAGCAAGAGGGGCUAAUCCGAACGUGGUUUGUCUCCAUUCAAUUGAGAGGGAAGCCCCCGGGACGCUACGGUGCCUUAGCUGGUUCCCGAUCCUCCUUCAAAAGUGGGAAAGAGAGGCGGAAGGCGCCCCUUCCAAACAAUGAAAAAAAUCCGAGGAACUUCGAAGCUUAUAGGGCCUCCUCUUGUAAGCUAGCUCCAUUCGAUCGAUCGCUUCCGUUCAUAAUAGAUUGGUUGUGAAUUAAUUGAUUAAUGCCUUGAUAGUCUCAAUAUCCCAUCAUCCUAUCACACUGUAUUUCUAUUGAUAUUCUAAUUAUAAUCUCAAUUGCUUGCUUAUUUUAUUGUAGAUAACUAAUGCUUUUGAUGUGUAUAUAUAUAGAUAUAUAGUUGUAAUAGUACCAACAUUUGAUUCAUAGUUAUUAGAUUGUGUUUUUCCGUCCUGUUAGGUUUAAGGAUUAUACACUCGUUUACUGUAUUGUUAGAGCGGUGAUUGUGUGCUUAGUUAUUAGAUUUUGCUUCUAUUCAAGAGCGUAUGGUUCAAUUUGAGUAUGUUUGUUCUUUUAUCUUUAGCUUUUGUUAUCGAAUUUCUAUAAAAUGUUAAAAUAUUAAUUUCUUAAUGAUCAGUUAACUACGUGAUUAUUUGAUAUGUUUUUAAUCUAAAAUGUGAUAUGUAAAAUAUAGAAGAAAAAAAAAUAAAACAAUUUUAAGAAAAAAAUUUCAGUCCACCCCAACCUAAAAUCCUAGGUCCAACAUUGUGUGUGUGUGUAUAUAUUUAUAUAUACAGUCCGUUUCAGAUACGAACGUCCACACCGUAAACGGUGCGGACGUCCGCACCUGAUAACUGUUGUGUAUAUAUAUAUAUAUAUAUAUCAUGAAAUUAGAUUAAUUUAUAAUUAAUUUGAUCAAGAGAUUAACGUAAUCUUGUAAGGCUAUAACAUAUUCGAUCCUAUAAUGCAGUUCAUUGCAUUUAUAACUAGUACUGUCUAUGCAGCUUGUAAUCACAAGGAAGUAAAAGCUAGCGUCAGAGAUAGAUAGCGAAUUAGGGCUCUCUUGCAUACCCAAGAUGAAUUACCUACCCUACCUGGUCAUUGUUUGCCCAUAAUGCAACUCGAUCGAACACGGAACCAAAUUUGCCAACCAUCAAAUUUGGUGGUCANNNNN
Molecule: long non-coding RNA, 1407 nt
Filed under: Fragaria vesca (wild strawberry)
Lineage: Eukaryota; Viridiplantae; Streptophyta; Magnoliopsida; Rosales; Rosaceae
Description: long non-coding RNA (FVES_LNC000480)
Source: RNAcentral